AUGGAGUCUAUACGCCUGGAUUCCAAAGAUUUCAAGGGCUGGAAGUUCGAAAAGUUUGCUCGUUCUGUUGACAACCGGCUGCUCGUCCGUUCAAAUGCAGACCUGCAGACAUUCCAGCUGCACUGGGACGAGUAUCUUCCCAACGGCAAUGCUGUCAGAAGGUGGAUGAAGUAUGCAGUGAAUCACAAAGUUAAAGUGCUUGAUGUGAUCCUUCGUGAUUAUGAUAAGAGCCAUUUACCUCCAUGCAUCUUCACCUGCCGUUCGCUUCAGGAGCUGAAUUUGCAGUGGGGGGGAGCCAAUUACGACGAUCUCGAGCAUAUCAGACUUGUAAUACCAGAUAGAAUCAACUUCCCUUCUCUCCGGAAGUUGACUCUGCGUGAUGUGCAAGUGGACGGGCUUACUCUGGAGACUUUAAUUGCUUACAGCCCUCACCUAGAAGACAUGCAUUUGAUAGAUUCUCUGAUGUAUCUUCAGCUCAUAGCCUCCAAGGUGUUAAAAAGGCUGACCAUUGAUGGCUACAUAGAUUCGAAAAAUGGUUUUACAAUUUCUGCUCCCCAUCUGAUUAGCUUUGAGUGCAAGCGCUAUAAACUGAAAGAUAUUUCUUGGGGAGACCAGCCAACUCUAGAGAGUGCACACAUUGAUUCUCGUGGGAAAAUGUUUGAUGGCGAAUCUAACUAUACGGAAAUUCUUGUGCAUGCAAAGAAAAUUGCCUUAUUUGGUUCUGACAUAAAGGUUAUGCUGGAAAAGGAGUUGCCAACAUGUUCUGCAGUUGAGAGCCUCACAACUCUGGAAAUCGGCGACUGGCAUCUUACCAACGACCUCUACGUUGUGCUCCGCUUCCUGCAGCUUUCACCGAGGCUAGAAAAGAUCAAGCUGGUGCAUAAAUCAGUACCCCGUAUGCUACAUGUAGCUAGAAUUCUUGCACUGGUCUUAAGAAUAUUCACUAAAAGGCACCCUUUUCUUGUUUGUCUCCAGGAUGAAGGAGCAGGCACAAACGUUCGGUCAACUGAUGGAAUGACCUUCCAGUGUCCACUCCUCGAGAGCGUCGUGAUACAGUGCUUCGAGGGGGGUGAAGGGAUCGACAUGCUGGGGAAUGUCAUGGCAGCUAACGGGUCCACCUGGACAAGAUAA
Molecule: ribosomal RNA, 1131 nt
Filed under: Triticum aestivum (bread wheat)
Lineage: Eukaryota; Viridiplantae; Streptophyta; Magnoliopsida; Poales; Poaceae
Description: partial small subunit ribosomal RNA
Source: RNAcentral